UUCCUAGGUGAAACAAGAAUUGAUUUUAAUCAAAUCAAAGUGCAUAGUUCAGAGUUUGUUUGCUGUGUGGCAUGUCUUGUUUAGAGAUUCAUCCAACGGAAUCGGGAUUCCAUUUUGGAUUUCGAUUCUAUUUAGAUAUGGUGUAGACAUAAGGCGUUCUUACACAAACAAAACUCUCUCACUUUGUCUCGCUUUCUCUAUUCUCUAUAAAAAAAUAGAUAUAAGAUAUAAAAAAUAUUAAAUAAUCAAAUUCUAAAUAAUAAAAGAUUCUAAAUAAUAAAAGUAAUUUAAUUAAAUACUAAAAUAUACUAAUCUAACCUAAUAGAAUAUUCUAUUACUAAUGUAUUCUAAUGAAUAGUAAUACUAUGUUUUUUUCUUGAUACUUCCUUAUAUUUAUUUCUUUGUAUUUUAUAUUUCGAAAUAUUUCUUAUUUAUACAUUAUAUAACAUUAUAUAUUUACUUAUAAUUUAUAUAAUGUAUAAAUAAGAAAAUGAAAUAAGAUAAUGAAAUAUUAUCAAAAAAAUAAUAUCAAAUAUAACAUAGUUAUUAU
Molecule: long non-coding RNA, 550 nt
Filed under: Ananas comosus (pineapple)
Lineage: Eukaryota; Viridiplantae; Streptophyta; Magnoliopsida; Poales; Bromeliaceae
Description: long non-coding RNA (ACOM_LNC000002)
Source: RNAcentral